RNAcentral lists this ribosomal RNA (459 nucleotides) under Triticum aestivum (bread wheat). RNAcentral describes it as "partial small subunit ribosomal RNA". Lineage: Eukaryota; Viridiplantae; Streptophyta; Magnoliopsida; Poales; Poaceae. The record is from RNAcentral.
AUGCAAAAAUUUGGAUCAGCAUUGCGUCUUCGGUGGCUCUGGUUCCGGUGGGCCGACCAGCCUCGCACUUGGGCUGGCAUGCCGGUGCCUUGCUCGGACGAGGAAUUCUCUAUGUUCGCCUCAGCCACGACGGUCCGCAUCGGAGAUGGCUGCACGAUCCUUUUUUGGUUCGAUGCAUGGUUGGAUGGCAUGGCUCCCCGAGAUUUGGCUCCCUCCCUUUUUGCCAUUUCCUGCAGGAAGAGGAGGACAGUGGCUGCAGCUAUGAGCAAUUCUACAUGGCUGCGGGAUCUCUCUCAUGGUUUUCAAGAUGACAUGCUCGACGAGUUCAUUGAUCUGUCUGCACGGCUACAACGCGUCACGAUACAACAUGGUGUCAGGGACUCCAUCAUUUGGAAACUGACCUCGGACGGAGUCUACUCGACUCAGUUCGGCGUAUCAGUUAUUGUUCUCUGGAUUUGA